RNAcentral lists this ribosomal RNA (467 nucleotides) under Streptococcus intermedius. RNAcentral's name for it is "bacterial SSU rRNA". It matches the Rfam family "Bacterial small subunit ribosomal RNA", at positions 28 to 472 of the family's 1533-position model. The record is from RNAcentral. Lineage: Bacteria; Bacillati; Bacillota; Bacilli; Lactobacillales; Streptococcaceae.
GACGAACGCUGGCGGCGUGCCUAAUACAUGCAAGUAGAACGCACAGGAUGCACCGUAGUUUACUACACCGUAUUCUGUGAGUUGCGAACGGGUGAGUAACGCGUAGGUAACCUGCCUGGUAGCGGGGGAUAACUAUUGGAAACGAUAGCUAAUACCGCAUAAGAACAUUUACUGCAUGGUAGAUGUUUAAAAGGUGCAAAUGCAUCACUACCAGAUGGACCUGCGUUGUAUUAGCUAGUAGGUGAGGUAACGGCUCACCUAGGCGACGAUACAUAGCCGACCUGAGAGGGUGAUCGGCCACACUGGGACUGAGACACGGCCCAGAUUCUACGGGAGGCAGCAGUAGGGAAUCUUCGGCAAUGGGGGGAACCCUGACCGAGCAACGCCGCGUGAGUGAAGAAGGUUUUCGGAUCGUAAAGCUCUGUUGUUAAGGAAGAACGAGUGUGAGAAUGGAAAGUUCAUACUGG